AUGAAAGCCAUCCCAGCUGUUGUCAUAGAUUUCAUAGGGUUAGAUUAAAGGGGCCAUCUAUAAAAAUAAAAAAAACAACCUCAAAACAGACGUAUUUUGCUUUGCUUCUUUGCUUUUGCUCUGAGAGGGAGGCUUGUGUUGUGGGCGUUGAUUCAGUUACUGGCGGUCUCUAAUUCGCUUGGUGCAGGUCGGGAACUGCUUCGCGUUUACGGCUUUUUUUUUUCCAUACAACACCUAUGAGCCAGGUGGCGCCAUGGUAUUGGUCGGUGGUGCGAAAUGGGUCCCGCCUUGCAUCAACUGAAUCGGAGACCGCGGUGAAGAGGGGGGUUGGGUUGUUUCGUGGUUCAUGGAUCUCGCGUUUUUCGCUUUUGCUCGUUUCUCAGAUCUCAUCUCAGGUUACUAUUAGCAAAGUCCCUUCUCAGCUUUUGUGAUAAUAUAUAGAUGGUUUACUUUUUCGGGGAAAAUUGAGAAAAGCACAGAAUCUUUCAAAAGAAUGAAUGAGUUGUUAGGCGGUCAUAUGAAAAGGAAAAAAAGCAUCCUGUGUUCAGACACUAGAGUGGAAGAUUUUUACUAAAAGGGGCUGAAGAAAACCCAUCCAUAAAAAGCCCACAGUGCCCCAAAAAAAAAUAAACAUAAAAGAAAAUACAAGUUGUUGUAGGUGUAAUUUGUUGAAAUAUUAUUCUAACACUCCUUUUUUUUACCACUUUGGGAGUGCACUGCACAUACCCAAAACAUAAGUGCCAAAAAAGCUUCCCCCUCCUCAGCGACUUAUUUCUGCAGUUUGGGAUAUUCGACAACUUGUAGCAGAUACUUUAUACUUUGCGGCAUAUGUUUAGGGGAGCUAAUUCGGUGGCGGAUGCCUUUUUAAAUUGGAAAAUGCUAGAGGCACCAACUUGCUCACCAACUCUCUAAUAGAGCUUGGGACCCGUUGUAUUGGCGGGCUCCCCCUCUAUUAGAGAGUUGGUGAGCAAGUUGGUGCCUCUAGCACCACCCUUUUAAAUUUUGGUUACCGUAUUAAUGGUUAGUAAUCGUUGAUGGGGUAUAGUUUAGUUGGUUGAAUUCUUCCGCCUUCACUAUUAUGGAUAGAUUUUUCGAAACUCCCAGACGCCCAAUUAAUAUUUGUGUGUAAACUCACCUUUCCCAAUUAAAGAAAAUACCACCACAGCUAAUCCCAUGAAAUCAGUCGAUCCCUCAAAAUCAGCAUAGAUAGACUCUUCAUCACAAGAUCAGCGACAUGUCCUCUAAGAAUUGA
Long non-coding RNA from Prunus avium (sweet cherry), 1252 nucleotides. RefSeq lists it as uncharacterized. NCBI's taxonomy places the organism in Eukaryota, Viridiplantae, Streptophyta, Magnoliopsida, Rosales, Rosaceae. The record is from RefSeq and is a predicted model, not a curated record.